This is a small nucleolar RNA of Sorex fumeus (smoky shrew), 103 nucleotides long. RefSeq annotates it as small nucleolar RNA U13. The record is from RefSeq and is a predicted model, not a curated record. The transcript has a single exon. Lineage: Eukaryota; Metazoa; Chordata; Mammalia; Eulipotyphla; Soricidae.
AUACUUUUCCAGUUCAUAAGAUGAUGAUUGGGCACUCACACAUUUGUGUGACAUGUGCCUCCCUUAAAACUUGUCAGGCAUUUGGCACCUUACCCAUCUAAUG